Long non-coding RNA from Oncorhynchus kisutch (coho salmon), 7653 nucleotides. RefSeq lists it as uncharacterized. The transcript is spliced from 2 exons. The record is from RefSeq and is a predicted model, not a curated record. NCBI's taxonomy places the organism in Eukaryota, Metazoa, Chordata, Actinopteri, Salmoniformes, Salmonidae.
AAGUAAGUCAGACACACACACACACACCUUUGUUUUACUAUCCUUGUGGGGACCAAACAAUUUAUGACCAUUCAAAAUCAUAUUCUCCCUAACCUUAAACGUAACCCUAACUCUUAAACCUUAACCCUAAGCCUAAAAUAGCCUUCUUCCUUGUGAGGACCAGUGAAAUGUCUCCACUUUUUCCUUGUUUUACUAUCCUUGUGAGGGUUUCUGGUACCCACAAGGAUGGUAAAACCAAAAAACACACACACAUGGAUACACACUCAUACACAGAUGCAUGCACACACUGGAUGCACACACACACAAACACUCCUAAGGACAGAAAUGCAUACACACUCUCUCACACACACAGAUAGACAUAGAUACACACACGCACAAACACUCACAGUGACACUGCAACAUCCGCUCAAUAAGAACGGCCAAGCACACGUGUUGCCACGGCUUGCUACUGUUGAGCGUGCCGAGUGUGCAGCUCAGAGCAGGCGGGCACACGCUGAGAAAUGAUGAGUGUGGAAGGCUGUCUGGAGGGCUGAUGGCGCCGGCCCAUUCAGAUGGAGCAUCAGCCUGUAUCAGAUGACAGGUGCUGAAUUGAGACACACUGCCGGCGGAGCUGUCCCUCUCCCGGAUGGCCGUGUGCUCAACACACACAUCCUUCAGCCCCAGGCCCCUGGUUAGCAAGCGGCUGCCCAGCUGACAACGCCCUGACACCACCAUCCAUCUGUACAGCUCCAUAGAGGAGAUGAUAAUCAGGAGAUAGCCACCCUUCAUAAAGUCACCGGCUGGAGAGAGAGACUCGGAGACAUAGCGCUAGCCCAUGGGUUCUCUUGUUGUCUCUCUCACCUAUUCCGUUCUCAAUGCCACACAUGGUGGAUGCCACCAUCAGUGAGGUUCUAUAUAUCAGUGCUGUUGAGAUGAGCUGCAGACAAAGAGUGUCUCGGAGGACGAUGUGUAAACAUGGUGUUGAGAUGAACUGCAGACAAGGAGUGUCUCGGAGGACGAUGUGUAAACAUGGUGUUGAGAUGAGCUGCAGACAAGGAGUGUCUCGGAAGACAAUGUGUAAACAUGGUGUUGAGAUGAGCCGCAGACAAGGAGUGUCUCGGAGGACGAUGUGUAAACAUGGUGUUGAGAUGAGCCGCAGACAAGGAGUGUCUCGGAGGACGAUGUGUAAACAUGGUAUUGAGAGCGUCUUUGACAUCUUGUUAAGGUGAUGGAGGAGAUGAGACCACGAUGGCUGACGUUCAGUGAGGUUAGGACGUUAAGCCUUACAGUAAUGAAACCCUUACCCUCUCACAUGUAGCCUUGUGAGUUUUUCUUUUUAAGGCUACUGUGGUAUUAGGUUUAGAUGUAUUUAAACAGAUUCGUACAUAAUUAUGCAGAGACACACAUAGAAUGUGAUGUCAUACAAUAUAUUACUAGACGGUUAUAUUGCGUUACAUGGAGGACGAUGUCUCACGCCCACUUCCUUUUCCCGUAGGGAGUGGUCACGGAUGCCUCUCCUCAGUCAGUGGCCCCCUCGUCGCAUGACGUGAGUGGGCAGCAGCAUCAGAUCCAGGUGGACGGGUCCAGCGACCAUGUUGCUUACUCAUACCAGUCCAAAUAGCGACAGAUGAGGAGAAUAUUCCUGUGACAGUGUUGCCUUGAGACAGGGGGGUUGGCUGUACUGAGAAUGUGGAGAGAAGAGAGAUUGCUUCCAGAUUGCCCAGGCACCAAAAAAGAGACACUUUUUCAUUUCCUACCUGGCCUAAGAGAGUUACACAGAGAGAGAGAAAGAGAGGAGGGAGGGUGGGUUGGGGGGUGAAGUCGCUGGGCACAGUGCAAAGAGUUGAAAAUGUUUAGUCUGGCAACCUGCCUGGUGGGUUGGGCUUCAGCUUGACUUACUCAACUGAAAAAAAUAAAAAAUAAAUAGGCAAAUGUUCAAUGCGCAGGUAGGUAGGUAGGUGAUGAGUUUUAUUUUGUAAUUAGAAAAGGGGAAGUCAAAGUUUGACAUACACAGAGAUUGUCUUCCUUAGAUAUUAAGCUAUGAUUUCUUUUCACUUUUUUUUUCUCUUGUUAAAUUUGAGUUUUCUAGAUUUAUUCGAAAUAAGUGUUUUUCUUUCUUGAAUCUUCAUGGCCUUAAUUUUAAGGGCGUCGGAUGACUUUUUACAGAGAGUAAAGUCUGGCGUCUCGUUGAAAAUAAAAAGCGAUCUAAAUCAGUCUCUUGGACCACUUUGAUGGUACAUGAUACUGCAGGGGUUGAGCUAGAGACAUUAAAACAAAGUCUAUCACAUAAGCUGUACAGAUUUAAUAGACAAGAGUUUCUUUUUCUUUUCUUCGUAAGAAGAAAACUUUGAUAAAUAAUUAUGUCAGAGGUUACUAAAUCUAAGAGAAAAAAGUAAAUGUCUGCUAAGGAAAUGAGUGGGAAAAGAUAAAAGCUUUGAGGAGAUUUUUCACAAUGAGGAGGGGGAAAAAGACACUGCAUUGUAGAAAAUGCAGUCGGUUGCAAAUGCUGAACUUGUUUUUAUUAUCAUAAUUAUUAUUUUACAUGGCAAGAUUGCUGUUGAUGACAUUAGUGCUUUUAUCUGCUACAUUUGACCUUUUUUAUGAGCUUGAUGGUGUUUUUAGCCCGCUUUGCUUGUCACACUAUAAAAAAAAAAAGAACAAAGAAAAGAAAGAAAAAAAAUCUAAAACAAACAUAAAACGGUAGGAAAAAAAAUGUGCGCAGUGAUAAACUUCGUAGAUUGAGUAGGAGCUUACGGUUUAAACCAAUCAGUGCAAAAAGCAAUAGAAGAAAUUGUUGACAAUUUCUGUAGUCUUUCCUAGUUGUGGAUCAAAUGCAGCCCAAGGAUGGCCAUUUUUAUACCAAAGAUGAAGAGACACUCUGAUCCAGAGUUUUGUUGUUUUUCAGUUAGAUUUUGUUGUUGAUGCUGUUGAUGUUAUUGUUGAUAUUGUUGUUGUUGCUGUUGUCAUUGUUGUUUUUAAUUUGACCUUGAUGGCCGGACCAGUCCGUACUUUUCCUUUCAUUACAAUUACACGUUUUGGCUAAAGCUACCUUCCACGGUUUUCGAAACUAUCACACUGACUUCAAACAGUAUUUGAACAUAUGAUGCAACUAGUGGCAGUUCGACCUAAUGUCCCUCUCUGCCACUUAAAUUGUCUUUCCGCCUCUCAUCUGUCGUGUUCCACUCUUGCGCCAACUAUGGGGGCAUUCCACCAGUCAACAGUAAACACUAUAGGAAAUAUUGGGUAAUGUUGCAGCUCGCUCCUCGGUCAUUAAUGCUUCGCUUCUGGCUUUGUUGGCUCCCUGAUCUCUGCCUCGACGCCGUCUCUUCAUCUCAUUGGAUCAAUGACAACUGAACAAAACGGAUACAUUUUCUCCCCUCCCCGGGAGUCUCAUCAACGUUACCCUGCAUUUUUUCCCCCUCUCCAGUCAUCCAGACAACACAUAGCAAAACUCUCCGGCACUCUCUCAUUUGUCUGCAUGGACGUCAAACAUGUCCUGCUAUCCCAGGCACGAUGUACUUAGGAGGACAGGAACUUAAUUCAAGACUAGCAUUGACACGUUAACCUCUGGUGUGCUUCGGUGUUUGAUAUAUCUCUGAACUCCAAACAUACAAAACGAACACAUGGAAGCAUAGUAGUGUUAUCUGCUUUAGCAAACAUUAUCUCUCUUGAAGAUCCAUAUUUAUGGGUUGGAUAAACACUACUGUACUCAGACCUAAGGGGUUAUUUUCCAGACAGAAUAGUGCACUACAAUAAUGUUGACAGUAACCUUUCAGCCAAGCCUAAAAAGCCCGUCUUCUCCGCCUCUAGACUCAGUAGCCUGUAAAGAUCUCUGCCCCACUCCUUUCAGCCUUUCAUCAAACCCCUAUCCAUUGUACACAGUACCCUGUGUCUGGAGCGCUGUGUGUCUCUAUCCCCAUUACAGUACCCUGUGUCUGGAGCGCUGUGUGUCUCUAUCCCCAUUACAGUACCCUGUGUCUGGAGCGCUGUGUAUCUCUAUCCCCAUUACAGUACCCUGUGUCUGGAGCGCUGUGUGUCUCUAUCCCCAUUACAGUACCCUGUGUCUGGAGCGCUGUGUGUCUCUAUCCCCAUUACAGUACCCUGUGUCUGGAGCGCUGUGUGUCUCUAUCCCCAUCACAGUACCCUGUGUCUGGAGCGCUGUGUGUCUCUAUCCCCAUUACAGUACCCUGUGUCUGGAGCGCUGUGUGUCUCUAUCCCCAUUACAGUACCCUGUAUCUGGAGCGCUGUGUGUCUCUAUCCCCAUUACAGUACCCUGUGUCUGGAGCGCUGUGUGUCUCUAUCUCCAUUACAGUACCCUGUGUCUGAAAUGGGACCUUAUUGCCUAUAUAGUGCACUACAUUUGACCAGGCACUGCAUCUCAGUGCAAAAGGCAUCACUACAGUCCCUGGGUCGAAUCCAGGCUACAUCACAUCCGGCCAUGAUUGGGAGUCCCAUAGGGCGGCACACAAUUGUCCCAGCGUCAUCCGGGGUAGGCCGUCAUUGUAAGUAAGAAUUUGUUCUUAACUGACUUACCUAGUUAAAUAAAGGUUCAAUCAAAUUAAAUAAAUAGGGCUCUGGUCAUAAAAUAGGGCUCCAUGUUAAGAAUAGGGUCCCAUUCCGGACAACACCUCUGGGUCCCUGCCUGCCUGCUCACUGUGGUGCUAGAGCCAUAAAAAGGCACCACUAAUCUGACCAGGCUUCACUCUCUCUCUUCUCUCACUCUUCCUCUGUGAGGUUUUCCCUCUUUAUUGGAUAGUGCAGGAGCUGAACCACAAAACCAAUUUUAGUCACAUUCUCAAUGAGCCUUGACGGGGCCCAAUUUGUCUCCCCUCAGGGCAUUGGGAUCCGCUCCAGUGUCCCCCAAAGCCUCUUUUUUAGAGAAAAAGAGGGAUUUUUGGUGUUCUUUUUUUCCGUUAACAAUUGCACGUUUUGAGAUCCAGCAGUUCAUGUGACUCAAAGGAAGGCUGUGCAUUGCGUUCUGGGAAAGAUGGCAGUGACAUCAUGGGUCAGCUAUGACAUCGCACACAGAAAUGUCUGUAACAAUGUAAUUGUUCAUCGAGUGCCUUUAACGAAGCUUCCAAAUGAUUCCAAUAUCUACAGGAUAGAAAAAAAGCACACGGAAAAGCUAUCUUAUAUAAGGGAACCGUACAUUUUUGAAGGAGUUGUGCUAAACUAGUACAAAUGUACAACCUACUCUAAGGUGCUACAGUGAAAGCUGUCUUGGGCAUGUGCCUGCUUUGUGUCCGUUGGUCUGUGACGCACUGGCUAUUGUCGAUCAACAUUCAUUUACUACAGUGGCUCAUCCCAUUGGGUUGUGCUUUUCACAACCAACACACAGGCAAUGCAAUCUGAGAAAAUAUAACCAUUCGACAAUCUGUUGUCCCGUAAAACAUUCGACCCACAUGUCUUCCAUCCAGUGACAAGUCAAUGAUCAAAUCUACUGCACCAAUCUACCAACACCAGAGCUACUCAGCUGCCCACUGUCCCCAAACACCUCUCUCUUUCCUCUUUUCACUCACCCUGUCACUUCCCCUCAUCUUCUGCUUUCACUUUCCGAGUACAGAAAACUUUGAGAUCACAGGAUAUAUGCGCAAAGUCACCCACUUUACAAUUCCAACAGACAAACAAACCCAAAACGUCUGUGCCGUUUUCACACCAGUGACAACAACCUGUGUACAUUUCUGCACGUCUCUCCGGGUAAUAACAUUGAUUUUUGCUGCGUGGUUUUUUCGUGAGCAGGCGAGCUGCUACAGUAGGAGGUGUCCAGAUCUUAAGCUAGACCGUUGGUCGGGGUCGACGUUUGCUCCUCAACCUCCAUGGUGUUCAAACUGUACCUGAAACGAUGUGCUCUACAUCAUAGACCACUCUUACAGCUGCUACUUUAAGAGACAGACUAAAGAAGAAACCAUUGAUUAACCGUAGGAAUCUGACCGCACUCACCUUUGAUCACAAAACGCGCUACACAUAUUGUCACCGUCUAAGAUUCAAUAGCAAUGACAUACAAGGAAAAUUAGGUGACAAAUAGAAAUGACCAAAAAAAAGCACACAACAGAACUGUAUACGCUCCAAAUUGCUACCAGAGAUUCAAGAAAGACAAAACAUUGAAGUGAGGAGAGGUUUCCCUCAAUGGGGUAAGAGCGAUAUCGAUGAGGUCAUCACUGAAAUGGCAGUAUCAAGACUGACUGAACUCCUCUUUUAUUCUACGCUAGUUGUAGCACAAUGGCCGGGCAAGAUGCCUGCUAAACAUGUACAGUGAUUCUCACUGCGUUUUAGGGAGCUGCAGUUAAAGAUCUAGCUCGCUAGUCUAUGUGUCAGAACAAACCAGCCAGAGAGGGUCAUUGGCUCUACUACAUUCGCUGACACACACACAUACUCACUAUUGCCAGACAUUUCUGAGUAUUACACACACACACACACACACACACACACACAGUGUUUCAGUCAGUGUGUUAGUCUUCUCAUUAUCUCUUCAUCAGAGUACGGUUAUCACUCUGCUCUUCAUUGCUUACCAUCAGUUACUUAGGCUCCAUGGGGCCAACUUCCACGUGAGUAAAAUGUUCACGUUCUCUCCCAUUGACAUCAAUGCAUCACUAACCUAAACAUAGACUUUAGUGGAAGUUAGGAUUCGCCCCGAUGUCUUUGGUAUCUCCAGAGCAGCCGUGUUCCGUUUCAGUCUACUGUCUCUAUCCAGGCUGGGCCACCGAGCUGCUUCAGUUCACUGCCCUUUUAACGCCGUCCAUACCUCCAAUCCGUCCCAUGUUGUGUCUGUCUCACUGCCUCCGUCCAGAUAUCAAGCCAGUCGGUUAUAUCUAGCUACCAUAUUUCUAUCAAGUCCUUAGGAGCGUAUUCACCACAAUGGCAUUCCAAGUUGAUCAAUGUCAUACCCCAUUGUCAUAGGUUUCUUGUGAUUUCCCACAUUGUGACUAGACAGUGGUUUAGAGAAGACUGGCCCUGUGUCCAAAAUGGACCCUAUGUCUAUAUAGGGGAUACUGUGUCCUAUAUUGGCACCCUAUUCUCCAUACAUCGCACAACUGGACUGUAUUAUGACAGACGGUGCCUCAGAGUUGGGACUCCCGCAGUGUGACAGGAGAGCUCCGGGCUCGAUAUAACUCAACACUCUUUCAGCUCUUACCACCACGUAAUUCAGUGGGGAAAUUGCAAAAAAAAAAAAAUAUGUGUCCCAUGCUUUUUAAUUGAUGCUCUGGUUCACCUUUGACGGGAGGCAUCGAUUGGCCACACAUCCCCAGGAGCUCAGCCAACUGGCUAACCUAACACACACCUUCCUCGGAAUGAAAUAGCUCCCAGAGACGUCAAACACUAUUGAGUAACUAUCAUUAGAAAUGGCCAACCAAAUUUGCUGAAGAAACCUCCAGAACUUUCAUUAAGAGUCAGGAUUAUUAUACAAUAAAAAAAAAGAGGAAUAUUUAUUAGGACAGCAAAGCGGUUCUUAGAUAUUUUUUUGUUUAGUUCUGUUCUUUGUUGUUUUUCUAUUUUUCUUUGGGUCUUUUCUUUGGGUCAGCGCAGAGGAGGAUGUGGUCAUGCCUUAUGCACGCCACUCAGUGUGUGCGAUCCUUGAUAAAUAUCUGUACAUCUGUGGAUGUUAGGAUUAAACUUCGGUUUUAAUGAGUUGUUUUUUUCUCUGAAGCUUUCAAUAAAAAAAAUGUGGAAAAAAUA